GACAUGUGCCUGAAAACAAGGCUUACCUUGAUAGGGUAAUUUAUAGAGGUUACAACCCUCUC
This 62-nucleotide transfer RNA is filed under the name Bolitoglossa hartwegi. RNAcentral describes it as "tRNA-Ile". The record is from RNAcentral. Lineage: Eukaryota; Metazoa; Chordata; Amphibia; Caudata; Plethodontidae.